RNAcentral lists this unclassified non-coding RNA (2179 nucleotides) under Orussus abietinus. RNAcentral describes it as "crossover junction endonuclease MUS81, transcript variant X9". The record is from RNAcentral. Lineage: Eukaryota; Metazoa; Arthropoda; Insecta; Hymenoptera; Orussidae.
ACGCGCGUGUAUGUACGUACCUUGGAAACAAUCGUGCAGUCGACAAACGGCAACCAAUGAGGGAAGCGAAUUUUCGUAGUGACUGCAAAAUCUAGCAGUACCCGGCAGUGCCCAGCAGUGCCCGGCAGUAUCGUCCAGUAUCGUCAAGUAUUGUCAGAUAUCGUUGACACGAGUUAUAAAUUGAAAUAUGCUGUCCGGUGAAACAGAAGUUCCUUGAUCAAUAUUUUUCUUUCCAGGUGAAUCCAAUAUAAAAGAUCAUGAUGAGUUAAUGAAAUAAAAUGUACGAUGUCAUUCGACAUUCCAAAAUGAUUGUUUGAAAACAACUUUCAUUUAUAGGGAAGAAUAAUAUUCAGCUAAAUAAAUCAUUUUUCGUAGAAAUAUUUUUAAACAAUGAAAAGGGUAAAAGAACGACUAAAUUGCCCCAAUCCGUUAUUUGAACGCUGGCUACUGGAAUGGAGAGACGAAGCGAUAGCAAAAGGCUCCGAUAUGCAGUACUGUUUCUCAAAAGCGCUUGCAACGUUAAGAAAAUACCCUUUGCCUCUGGAAACAGGAAAGGAUUGCAUAAUUCUGCAAAACUUUGGAUCAAAUCUUUGCACGCUGUUGGAUAAAAAGUUGGCCGAACAUCAGAGAGGGACACCGCAGCUACAGGUUACUUUAACCAAGCAAAAAGAGGCUGGUGGUACCAUUGAAUAUAUCUUAGGUGAUCAGGAUAUAAAUGUUAAAAAUACGGAAGGGAAAAAAGUUACGAAGAGUAUAUAUGAAAAAACCGGACAUUUUGUUUCUGUGCCGACAACGGAACUAUACGUUCCUUCGUGGAGAUCAGGGGGCUAUGCUAUUUUAAUUGCAUUAUUUAAUAAAUCAAGAGAUCCCAAUUAUUCAGGUUAUUUAACUAAGGCAGAGUUGCAAAUAGAAGCUCAAGCGUAUUGUGAUCAUUCCUUUACAGUUUGCAAACCCUCUACACGCUGUAGUGCCUGGUCCUCGAUGUCAUUAUUAAUCUCUAAGGGAUUAGUUUUAAAGCGAAAUCGUCCCCCAAAAAAUAACAUUGAUCGAUGUAGGUAUAGCUUAACAAAUGAAGGAGUAACUCUUGCUACAAAGUUGUCACAGAUGAAUAAAAAUGAUUUAAAUUUGAAGCAUCAUUUUCCACAUAGGGGAGACAUUGAAUUGUCAUCGGAAGUUACUCAAAGGGGCAACAGCGAUGCACAAAAAGUACUGCAUGGAACCAAGUCAGUAAGAAAACGCGAGGAAAAUGAGGUCAUAGACUUUGAAGUGCACCAAGAGCAUACGCAAAUUGGGAACGUUAUCAAGAGUAAUUAUGACAAAAUGAAACAAAGUCAUGCCAUGGGAACUAUAAGUAAAAAAACUCCAAUCAACGUAGACACACAAUUGAAGAGUUUAGUAAAUGUAACGGAACCUGGAGUUAGUUUUGCACCGCACACAUUUAAUGUCGUAUUAUUAGUAGACACACGCGAAACGGAUGGUGGUAAAACCAGACCCACUCACGAUGUCACGCUCAUAGAGCUAACGCAGACCAAAGUGCUUUUCGAAGUUCGUAGUUUAAAGAUUGGAGAUUUUGCAUGGAUAGCCAAAAGUAAAGACACCGGAGAAGAGUUAGUAUUGCCAUACAUUGUCGAGAGGAAACGCAUAGAUGAUUUAGGUGCAAGCAUUAAAGAUGGUAGAUUUCAUGAGCAAAAGUUUCGACUAAAGCAAUCUGGCAUAAAAAAUAUCAUAUACAUGAUCGAGAGUUAUGGCAACAAUCAAUAUACUGGCUUACCGAUAUCAUCGAUACUUCAAGCCUCAAUCAACUCCUCGGUUCAAGAUGGCUUCACCGUUAAGUACACCGAUAGUCAUCGAGAGUCCAUGCAAUAUUUAGCUAUGGUUACCAAAUUAUUAACCGAGAAGUUCCAAUUAGCAAAUUUCUACAAUUACAGAAAAUACAUCUAGAAGAGUGCAAAAAAAAUUAUCCAGUUACCACAAAUGUUGAUAACUACAAAAUUUAUCUCGUGGCAUUUAAAGACUUUAACAAAUCCUCAUCUAAACUAAAGAAUUUUAAAGUGAAGCAGAUGUUUAUCCGGCAAUUGUUGCAAUUGAAGGGGGUUUCCGUUGAAAAGGCGCUAGCAAUAGUAGACAAGUAUACAACCCCAAAACUUCUUGUAACUGCUUUGACAAAUGCUGGCCCCGA